RNAcentral lists this ribosomal RNA (465 nucleotides) under Vreelandella stevensii. RNAcentral describes it as "partial 16S ribosomal RNA". It matches the Rfam family "Bacterial small subunit ribosomal RNA", at positions 338 to 795 of the family's 1533-position model. The record is from RNAcentral. Lineage: Bacteria; Pseudomonadati; Pseudomonadota; Gammaproteobacteria; Oceanospirillales; Halomonadaceae.
CCUACGGGCGGCAGCAGUGGGGAAUAUUGGACAAUGGGGGGAACCCUGAUCCAGCCAUGCCGCGUGUGUGAAGAAGGCCCUCGGGUUGUAAAGCACUUUCAGUGAGGAAGAACGCCUGGUGGUUAAUACCCAUCAGGAAAGACAUCACUCACAGAAGAAGCACCGGCUAACUCCGUGCCAGCAGCCGCGGUAAUAGGGAGGGUGCGAGCGUUAAUCGGAAUUACUGGGCGUAAAGCGCGCGUAGGUGGCUUGAUAAGCCGGUUGUGAAAGCCCCGGGCUCAACCUGGGAACGGCAUCCGGAACUGUCAAGCUAGAGUGCAGGAGAGGAAGGUAGAAUUCCCGGUGUAGCGGUGAAAUGCGUAGAGAUCGGGAGGAAUACCAGUGGCGAAGGCGGCCUUCUGGACUGACACUGACACUGAGGUGCGAAAGCGUGGGUAGCAAACAGGAUUAGAUACCCGUGUAGUC